Molecule: non-coding RNA, 2020 nt
Organism: Macaca mulatta (Rhesus monkey)
Lineage: Eukaryota; Metazoa; Chordata; Mammalia; Primates; Cercopithecidae
Source: RefSeq, a predicted model, not a curated record
AUGACCCAUCCAUGUCAGGAAGCCGGAAUUACCUGCAGGACUAACCUAGUGCCUAUAGCUAUGGCAGGUCCCUGCAUCGUUGUUUUUGUUUAGUGGAUCCUCUAUCCUUCAGAGACUCUGGAACCCCUGUGGUCUUCUCCUCAUCCAAUGACCCUGAGGUGAUGGAGUUUUCCAGAAAGGAAUGUCCCAAGCCUUCGGGUAGGGUAAGCAUCAUGGCCGCCAGCCUCACAGGAUUGCUUCUACUUCAGGCAGUGUCAUGGGCAUCAGCCGCUGAGAGCAGAAGCAGUGGGCGUUGGAUGGAGCUGAGUAAGGGGACCAUCCAGGCUAAUUGCACUGGCACAGGAAUUGGAUAUAACAUCAUCCGGGAACCCAUGGCCAGCUGUGACUUCUCCAUCCGCACCUACACCUAUGCAGACACCCCUGAUGAUUUCUAGUUGCACAACUCCAGCCUCCCAGAGGAAGAUACCAAGCUCAACAUACCCCUGAUUCACCGAGCCCUGUAGUUGGCCCAGCGUCCCGUUUCACUCCUUGCCAACCCCUGGACAUCACCCACUAGGCUCAAGAUCAGCGGAGCAGGGAAUGGGAAGGUGUCACUCAAGGGACAGCCCGGAGACAUCUACCACCAGACCUGGGCCAGAUACUUUGUGAAGUUCCUGGAUGCCUAUGCUGAGCACAAGUUACAGUUCUGGGCAGUGACAGUUGAAAAUGAGCCUUCUGCUGGGCUAUUGAGUGGAUACCCCUUCCAGUGCCUGGGCUUCACCCCGAACAUCAGCGAGACUUCAUUGCCCAUGACCUAGGUCCUACCCUCGCCAACAGUACUCACCACAAUGUCCGCCUACUCAUGCUGGAUGACCAAUGCUUGCUGCUGCCCCACUGGGCAAAGGUACUGACAGACCCAGAGGCAGCUAAGUAUGUUCAUGGCAUUGCUGUACAUUGGUACCUGGACUUUCUGGCUCCAGCCAAAGCCACCCUAGGGGAGACACACCGCCUGUUCCCCAACACCAUGCUCUUUGCCUCAGAGGCCUGUGUGGGCUCCAAGUUCUGGGAGCAGAGUGUGCGGCUAGGCUCCUGGGAUCGAGGGAUGCAGUACAGCCACAGCAUCAUCACGAACCUGCUGUACCAUGUGGUCAGCUGGACUGACUGGAACCUCGCCCUGAACCCCGAAGGAGGACCCAAUUGGGUGCGUAAUUUUGUCGACAGUCCCGUCAUUGUAGAGAUCACCAAGGACACGUUUUACAAACAGCCCAUGUUCUACCACCUUGGUCACUUCAGCAAGUUCAUUCCUGAGGGCUCCCAGAGAGUGGGGCUGGUUGCCAGUCAGAAGAACGACCUGGACACAGUGGCACUGAUGCAUCCCGAUGGCUCUACCGUUGUGGUCGUGCUAAACCGCUCCUCUAAGGAUGUGCCUCUUACCAUCAAGGAUCCUGCCGUGGGCUUCCUGGAGACGAUCUCACCUGGCUACUCCAUUCAUACCUACCUGUGGUGUCUGCAGUGAUGGAGUGGAUACUCAAGCUCAGCCUGGGCAUUAAAAGGACAGUCAGCUCACACGCUGUCUGUGGCUAAAGAGGGCACAGCAGGGCCAGGGUGCGCUUACAGCGACAUAAGCCCAAGGGCAGUGGUUUGGGUGAUUCACUUUCCCCUCUAGGUAUUGCCAGGGGCUGGAGGCCCCUAGAAAAAGACCAGUAAGCCCCAGUGUUCCCCCAGCCCCCAUGCUUAUGUGAACGUGCACUGUGUGCUGCUUGCUUUGGAAACUGGGCCUGGGCCCAGGCCUAGAGUGAGCUCACUGUCGUACAAACACAAGAUGAGGGGUGAGGGUAAGGAAAAGAAGAGACUAGGAAAGCUAGGCCCAAAACUGGAGACUGUGUUUCCUGGAGAUGCAGAACUGGGCCCAUGGAGCAGCAGUGUCAGCAUCAGGGCAGAAGCCUUAAAGCAGCAGCAGGUGUGCCCAGGCAGCCAGAUGGUUCCUGUGGGACUAGCCAGGAAAAAUGGCAGCUCUUAAAGGAGAAAAUGUUUGAGCCCA